RNAcentral lists this ribosomal RNA (589 nucleotides) under Aspergillus niger. RNAcentral's name for it is "eukaryotic LSU rRNA". The stretch from base 216 to 369 matches the Rfam family "5.8S ribosomal RNA". Lineage: Eukaryota; Fungi; Ascomycota; Eurotiomycetes; Eurotiales; Aspergillaceae. The record is from RNAcentral.
CCGUAGGUGAACCUGCGGAAGGAUCAUUACCGAGUGCGGGUCCUUUGGGCCCAACCUCCCAUCCGUGUCUAUUGUACCCUGUUGCUUCGGCGGGCCCGCCGCUUGUCGGCCGCCGGGGGGGCGCCUCUGCCCCCCGGGCCCGUGCCCGCCGGAGACCCCAACACGAACACUGUCUGAAAGCGUGCAGUCUGAGUUGAUUGAAUGCAAUCAGUUAAAACUUUCAACAAUGGAUCUCUUGGUUCCGGCAUCGAUGAAGAACGCAGCGAAAUGCGAUAACUAAUGUGAAUUGCAGAAUUCAGUGAAUCAUCGAGUCUUUGAACGCACAUUGCGCCCCCUGGUAUUCCGGGGGGCAUGCCUGUCCGAGCGUCAUUGCUGCCCUCAAGCCCGGCUUGUGUGUUGGGUCGCCGUCCCCCUCUCCGGGGGGACGGGCCCGAAAGGCAGCGGCGGCACCGCGUCCGAUCCUCGAGCGUAUGGGGCUUUGUCACAUGCUCUGUAGGAUUGGCCGGCGCCUGCCGACGUUUUCCAACCAUUCUUUCCAGGUUGACCUCGGAUCAGGUAGGGAUACCCGCUGAACUUAAGCAUAUCAAUA